This 519-nucleotide ribosomal RNA is filed under the name uncultured bacterium. Its description in RNAcentral is "bacterial SSU rRNA". It matches the Rfam family "Bacterial small subunit ribosomal RNA", at positions 1 to 524 of the family's 1533-position model. The record is from RNAcentral.
GGAUCCAGACUUGAUUUUGCUCAGGACGAACGCUGGCGGCGCGCCUAACACAUGCAAGUCGAGCGGGAAGCUUUUUAAGGAUUCUUCGGAUGAAUUAAAAAAUGGAGAGCGGCGGACGGGUGGGUAACGCGUGAGAAACCUGCCCUAUACAGGGGGAUAGCCAUUGGAAACGAUGAUUAAUACCCCAUAUGACCACAGUAUCGCAUGAUACAGCGGUGAAAACUCCGGUGGUAUAGGAUGGUCUCGCGUCUGAUUAGCUAGUUGGUGGGGUAACGGCCUACCAAGGCGACGAUCAGUAGCCGGCCUGAGAGGGUGACCGGCCACACUGGAACUGAGACACGGUCCAGACUCCUACGGGAGGCAGCAGUGGGGAAUAUUGCACAAUGGGCGAAAGCCUGAUGCAGCGACGCCGCGUGAACGAUGAAGGCUUUCGAGUCGUAAAGUUCUGUUCUUGGGGAAGAUAACGACGGUACCCAAGGAGAAAGCACCGGCUAAAUACGUGCCAGCAGCCGCGGUAAU